This 254-nucleotide ribosomal RNA is filed under the name uncultured bacterium. RNAcentral describes it as "partial 16S ribosomal RNA". It matches the Rfam family "Bacterial small subunit ribosomal RNA", at positions 524 to 776 of the family's 1533-position model. The record is from RNAcentral.
UACGGGGGGGGGCAAGCGUUGUUCGGAAUUACUGGGCGUAAAGGGCGUGUAGGCGGCCAACUAAGUCCGACGUGAAAUCCCCAGGCUUAACCUGGGAACUGCGUCGGAUACUGGAUGGCUUGAAUUCGGGAGAGGGAUGCAGAAUUCCAGGUGUAGCGGUGAAAUGCGUAGAUAUCUGGAGGAAUACCGGUGGCGAAGGCGGCAUCCUGGACCGACAUUGACGCUGAAGCGCGAAAGCUAGGGGAGCAAACGGG